RNAcentral lists this ribosomal RNA (444 nucleotides) under uncultured bacterium. RNAcentral's name for it is "bacterial SSU rRNA". It matches the Rfam family "Bacterial small subunit ribosomal RNA", at positions 360 to 793 of the family's 1533-position model. The record is from RNAcentral.
AAUAUUGCACAAUGGGCGCAAGCCUGAUGCAGCCAUGCCGCGUGUAUGAAGAAGGCCUUCGGGUUGUUAAAGUACUUUCAGCAGUGAGGAAGGUGGGUAUGUUAAUAGCAUACUCAUUUGACGUUAGCUGCAGAAGAAGCACCGGCUAACUCCGUGCCAGCAGCCGCGGUAAUACGGAGGGUGCGAGCGUUAAUCGGAAUUACUGGGCGUAAAGCGCAUGCAGGUGGUUUGUUAAGUCAGAUGUGAAAGCCCGGGGCUCAACCUCGGAAUUGCAUUUUGAAAACUGGCAAACUAGAGUACUGUAGAGGGGGUAGAAUUUCAGGUGUAGCGGUGAAAAUGCGUAGAGAUCUGAAGGAAUACCGGUGGCGAAGGCGGCCCCCUGGACAGAUACUGACACUCAGAUGCGAAAGCGUGGGGAGCAAACAGGAUUAGAUACCCUGGUAG